UCCUACGGGGCGCAGCAGUAGGGAAUCUUCCACAAUGGGCGAAAGCCUGAUGGAGCAACGCCGCGUGGGUGAAGAAGGUCUUCGGAUCGUAAAACCCUGUUGUUAGAGAAGAAAGUGCGUGAGAGUAACUGUUCACGUUUCGACGGUAUCUAACCAGAAAGCCACGGCUAACUACGUGCCAGCAGCCGCGGUAAUACGUAGGUGGCAAGCGUUAUCCGGAUUUAUUGGGCGUAAAGGGAACGCAGGCGGUCUUUUAAUUCUGAUUUGAAAGCCUUCGGCUUAACCGGAUUAGUGCAUUUGCAACU
This 305-nucleotide ribosomal RNA is filed under the name uncultured bacterium. RNAcentral describes it as "bacterial SSU rRNA". It matches the Rfam family "Bacterial small subunit ribosomal RNA", at positions 337 to 634 of the family's 1533-position model. The record is from RNAcentral.